RNAcentral lists this ribosomal RNA (535 nucleotides) under uncultured fungus. Its description in RNAcentral is "eukaryotic LSU rRNA". The stretch from base 198 to 351 matches the Rfam family "5.8S ribosomal RNA". Lineage: Eukaryota; Fungi. The record is from RNAcentral.
AAGUCGUAACAAGGUCUCCGUAGGUGAACCUGCGGAGGGAUCAUUACCGAGUGAGGGCCCUCGCGCCCGACCUCCCAACCCUUUGUUGUACCCAACCGUUGCCUCGGGGGGCGACCCGGCCUUUCGCGCCGGGCGGCCCUCCGAGGUUUAUUAACAACCUGCAUUUUGACGUCGGAGUAUUGAAAACAAUCAAUCAAAACUUUCAACAACGGAUCUCUUGGUUCUGGCAUCGAUGAAGAACGCAGCGAAAUGCGAUAAGUAAUGUGAAUUGCAGAAUUCAGUGAAUCAUCGAAUCUUUGAACGCACAUUGCGCCCUUUGGCAUUCCGAAGGGCAUGCCCGUUCGAGCGUCAUUACACCACUCAAGCCUCGCUUGGUAUUGGGCGACGGGGACCUCCCGCGCCUUCAAUUCAUCGGCUGUUCGUUUGAAUCUCAGCGUUGUGGUUUCAUCAAAUCGCUGGCGAGGAGGAUUGAGCGCGCCGUUAAACUUCUUUACAGGUUGACCUCGGAUCGGGUAGGGAUACCCGCUGAACUUAA